Molecule: ribosomal RNA, 430 nt
Filed under: uncultured organism
Description: bacterial SSU rRNA
Rfam family: Bacterial small subunit ribosomal RNA
Source: RNAcentral
GCGCAGCAGGCGAGAAUUUUUCUCAAUGGGGGAAACCCUGAAGGAGCGACGCCGCGUGGAGGAUGAAGGCUUUCGGGUUGUAAACUCCUGUCGUUUGGGAACAAGUUGCACACGUUAACUGCGUGGGCAUUGAUAGUACCAGAAGAGGAAGGGACGGCUAACUCUGUGCCAGCAGCCGCGGUAAUACAGAGGUCCCAAGCGUUGUUCGGAUUCAUUGGGCGUAAAGGGUGCGUAGGUGGCGCUGUAAGUCGGGUGUGAAAUUUCGAGGCUUAACCUCGAAACUGCAUUCGAUACUGCGGUGCUUGAGGACUGGAGAGGAGACUGGAAUUCAUGGUGUAGCAGUGAAAUGCGUAGAGAUCAUGAGGAAGACCAGUGGCGAAGGCGGGUCUCUGGACAGUUCCUGACACUGAGGCACGAAGGCCAGGGGAGC